This 200-nucleotide ribosomal RNA is filed under the name uncultured bacterium. Its description in RNAcentral is "partial 16S ribosomal RNA". It matches the Rfam family "Bacterial small subunit ribosomal RNA", at positions 28 to 229 of the family's 1533-position model. The record is from RNAcentral.
GACGAACGCUAGCGGCAGGCUUAACACAUGCAAGUCGAGGGGUAUAAGGAGCUUGCUCCUUAGAGACCGGCGCACGGGUGCGUAACGCGUAUGCAAUCUGCCUUUCACAAAGGGAUAGCCCAGAGAAAUUUGGAUUAAUACCUUAUAGUAUAUAGAUGUGGCAUCACAAUUAUAUUAAAGUAACAACGGUGAAAGAUGAG